This is an RNA transcript of Chelonia mydas (Green sea turtle), 1917 nucleotides long. It is a transcript of the gene named NADH:ubiquinone oxidoreductase complex assembly factor 6, with no coding region annotated. The record is from RefSeq and is a predicted model, not a curated record. The transcript has 9 exons. NCBI's taxonomy places the organism in Eukaryota, Metazoa, Chordata, Testudines, Cheloniidae.
ACAGGAGGGGCGGUGCACCAGGCAGCAUGGCGGCCGCUAUGGCACUGAGCUGCGGGAUGCGCUACGGGCCCUAUUCCCGGCAGCUGCUAGGGCCGAGCGCCCGCGGGCGGCUCGUGCGGCCGGCGGUCUGGGGAGGGAGCGCGGCGCCGGCCUCCAGCCGGCCCGGCCCCGGGGGAGAGGUGCAGUACUGCGCCGAGCUGCUGCGGAAACGUGACUAUGAAGGGUUUCUGUGUUCUCUAUUGUUGCCUGCAGAAUCCCGCACCUCUGCUUUUGCACUGAGAGCCUUCAAUGUUGAACUGGCCCAGAUUAAAGACUCCGUAACACAGAAGACCAUAGGUUUGAUGCGAAUGGAGUUUUGGAGGAAAGCUGUGGAAGAUAUAUACUGUGAUAACCCACCACAUCAGCCAGUUGCUAUAGAACUGUGGAAGGCUGUCAAGAGACAUAACUUGACUAAAAGGUGGCUUCUGAAGAUUAUUGAUGAAAGAGAGAAAAAUUUGGAUGACAGAGCAUAUCGCAACAUCCAGGAACUUGAAGCAUAUGCUGACAACACUCAUAGCGCUCUCUUGUAUCUCACCUUGGAAAUGCUGGGUGUGCGGGAUAUCCAUGCAGACCAUGCAGCCAGUCACAUUGGGAAAGCACAAGGCAUUGUCACCUGUUUAAGAGCAACUCCUUAUCAUAGUAAAAGACAAAAGGUCUUUCUUCCUAUGGACAUUUGUACGUUGCAUGGAGUUUCGCAAGAAGAUUUCAUAAGAGCCAAUCAAGAGAAAAAUCUGAGAGAUGUAAUUUACAACAUUGCCAGCCAGGCGCACAUUCAUCUAGAACAUGUUCAAUGAGCUGUACACCUUGGUUUAAAAAUAAUGCAGCUGCAGUUUAUGCUCCAGUCCUGCAGUCAGAUCUGUUGUCUCAGACCCCCACAGCGAUGCAGAGCCCUAUAGAAAUCAGUGGGGCUUUGCCCAGAUGGAGGGGUCUGAGCUAGCGGUUCCAAUGCUGCAAUCGGAUCCUAAGGCUAUGUCUACACUACAGAUGCUACAGCUGCAGUGCUGCAGCUGUUCUGUGGGGGUGCCACAGUAUGGAUACUUGAUACAGUGAGGGAGGUGGUUUUUCCAUUGCUGUAGUUACAGCUGGGAGUUAGGUUGAUGGAAGAAUUUUUCCGAUGACCUAGUGGUGUCUACACUGAAGCGUAGGUUGGCUCUGUCUCUCUCAGGGGUGUGAAUUUUUUGUACCGCUGAGUGACAUAGCUAGGUCAACGUAGGUUUUUGGCGUAGACCAGCCCGAAGUUAUUAAUUCUUAUGAUGUGGAGAUCAGAAGUCAGCCCCCCUCGUACAUUGCUAACAGGAAUAAAAGUAGUAAAACCAUAUUUCUUAUAUUAAACAAGCAGAACACAUGGGGAGCAGAUCUGUGGAAUAAAAAAUACCAGUUUACGCAGUAAAUUUUCUGAUUAUACCUACAGUUUAAGGCUGCGAAAAGGCACAGGAAUGGUAACGGGCAUCUCACAAUAUUAGACACUGGUUUUGUAAUUACUUCUAUAUAUGCUGAAGGAUGGUGCUUGGUUUUUUAUUUAAUGAAAGUUGUACCUUCAUUGCAGUAUAUUCAAACCUGAAAGAUUCAAGCUCAUGAUAAAUUUUGCCAGUUUGAGCCAUAAAACUCCGUAUUUGAAGUUCACUUUGAUCUGGUAACUUCCCUAUGCAAUAUUUUUUUUCCUUCUCUUUUCAGGCUAGGUCCUUCAGUAAAAAUGUUCCUGCCAAAGCAUUUCCUGCCUUUCUCUAUACAGUUACUUUAGAGGAUUAUUUAUAUAAAAUACAGAAAGUAGAUUUCGACAUAUUCCAUCCAAGCUUACAUCAGAAGAGCACGUUACUACCGUUGUAUUUAUAUAUUAGAUCCUGGAAAAAAAAAUAUUAAAAAUAGACUUAACAUGUC